UAUCUGUCAGUCUGACAGCUGAUUGGCUGCUCGGAGAUGCAUAUAAUUACCAGCAACUGGCGCUGGGUAGGCAAAGCCCGGAGAAACUGCUGAGAUGAGGGCUGAUUGAGUUUCCUUCCAAGAUGGCAGCUGAUUUCCACCAGAUUGAGCAGUGUAAAAAAACCUUUAUGGCCAUGCCUUGGACAGCACAUCAGUCGUUUCCUCACACUGUAUUGGUUCCCAACCAGCCCUACUCAUUGUGGAAGGGGACAAUACAGCCUGUAAAUGCCUGAAGGCAGGAAUCGUUUGGAGACCAUCUUGGAGGUUGGUGACCAUGGCAACCAUCACUUCUGCACAAAGAGAGGCGUUUUCCCCUGAAGGCUCCACACACAGACUUCACACUGGCCUACGUUUGCUCUCCCAACCCAGACAAGGGAGGAGACAGCACUGACCAUAGACACUGGGUCCUGUAGCCUGGACUGGACCACAAGGACAUUUGGAAACAGCAGAAGGACCUGGAGGGAAGGGCCAAAGGUUUCAUUCCUCCUCUCAGACACUUGAGUUUGUGGCAGAGGAUACAGUGGCCUGCUCACCUUCCCUUGGCCACACUGACUUCCUCAGGAAGAGGAAGACCUGCCAGUCUGGGUCUCCACCCAUCUGACCUCAUCGGCUUCCUGGAGGAACCUGGUUCAGAGAGGAGGAUCCAAACCCGCUCUGACAGAGGUGUGAGGAAGAUUUGUGGUGUGCUGGCUCAAGGGGACUCCUGCAGCCUUGCGUUGAUGCCUUGGAGACAUGCCAUCAAGGAGCAGCAGACCAGGUCAUCUGCAUUUUCUAGUCAUCAUUGGUACCCAAAGAAAGCCUCAGGGGUUGGGGAAUGUGACCCAAGUGGUAGAGUACUUGUCUAGCAUGCACACAGACCUGGCACUGAUCCUCAGCACCACAUAACCCAGACUUGGUGGUGCAUGCCUAUAACCCCACACUUGGAGGUGGAGGCAGGAGGGUCGGAAGUUCAAGGUCAUCCUUUGCUACAUAGUGAGUUUGAGGCCACUCUUAGAACAAGCCUCAAGUGGCACUGACAGUGGUGAAGAGCAGGAAGAGGGAGGGAGUUGGGGGAGACUAGAGCCAUGGCUCAGUCUGGAAAGUGCUGGCCCUGCAAACAUGGGAAUCGACUCUGGAUCCCCAGAGCUUGGGAAAGUGGGACAGCUUUAGUGGCACAUAGCUCUGAGCAGCUGGAGACAGAAGGACACUGGCGCUUGGACAGCCAGCCUAGGCCACCAUUGAGCUCCACUGUCAAUGAGAGAUGCUGCCUCAAAAAAUAAGAUGGAGAGUGAUUAAGAAGGACACCCAGGCUGGUCUCCUGCUUCACAUGUAAGCAGACAAACAUGCACACGAACCCCCAUGUGAUGGCAGGUCUUGGUUGUCAACUUGACUAUAUCUGGAAUUAACCAAAACCCAAAUGGCUGGGCACACCUGUGAGAGAUAUUUUUUUUCUUAAUUAAAGCAUUUGAACUGGGGAAAAUCCACUUUUAAUUUGGAUCUUUUAAAGUGGGAAGACCCACUUUUAAUCUGGGCCACACCUUGUGCUGGCAGCCUAAAUAAAGACAUGGAAGAAGGAAGCUCGCUCUCUCUGCCUGCUUGCCCUUGCUCUCCCUGGCAAGUCCAUUCCUUCACUGGAUUAGAGCCUACUUCUUUGGAAUUCUGCUGUGUACUGAAGACCAGCUGAGACAUCCAGUCUCGUGGACUGAACAACUACUGGAUUCUUGGACCUUCUCUUGGUAGACAGCCGUUGUUAGAAUAGUUGGACCACAGCCUGUAAGCCAUCCUAAUAAAUUUCUCUGUCUGUCUGUGUC
Molecule: non-coding RNA, 1829 nt
Organism: Cricetulus griseus (Chinese hamster)
Lineage: Eukaryota; Metazoa; Chordata; Mammalia; Rodentia; Cricetidae
Source: RefSeq, a predicted model, not a curated record